This 820-nucleotide long non-coding RNA is filed under the name Vigna radiata. Its description in RNAcentral is "long non-coding RNA (VRAD_LNC001828)". The record is from RNAcentral. Lineage: Eukaryota; Viridiplantae; Streptophyta; Magnoliopsida; Fabales; Fabaceae.
GGGGACCAUGUUAAAAAUUUCUUACUAAGUUCGUUGAGUUCAUGUAAUUUUUAGUAGGGUAAUAAUGUAGUUUGACGACAUCAUGUACAUAAGAUAUAAUAGGGAAUACUUAAUUGUAUUUCAUUAAUUCGAUGUAACCAUAAACAAUGUUUUAUUGUAAUAUAAAUAUAACAUAAGUUGAACAGAAAUACAAGUUCUGUAGUCUACUUCAAAGCGAUAUAUGGGUGUUAACAUUACAUAUACAUCCAUUAAUUUGCACUUCUACAGCAAUGUCAUGGACGACAAUGCUUCGACGAAAAGCAAAUGCUCCGACGAAAAGCAAAUCACCACCCAAACCACUAAAGUGAUGGUCCGAGAACGACAAUGCUCCGACGACGAUGACGACACGAAAGAGGUUUCGCCACGCACCCACAACGACAAUGAUGGUCCGAGAACGAGAACAACCUUUCACAAUGACGAGCCCUGAGAAAAACCCAAAACACUAAAGUGAUGGUCCGAGAACGAGAAUGCUCCGACGACGAUAACGACACGAAAGAGGUUUCGCCACACACCCACAACGACAACGACGGUCCAACAACGAGAAUAACCUUUCACAAUGACAACGCCUGAGAAAGCAUGGAGAAGGAGGCCCGCGAAGAGAGGAAGGNAGAUGAGAGAACCGUCAGAGAGCACGAAAAUGAAAAAUGAAAGAGAGCGCCAAAACUAAAACCCCACACCCAACAUUCCAUCUUUGCCCCUCACUUAUUCCAUCUUUGCCCCUCAGCAGUUUAAACAAUGUAAUUUUUCAAAAAUAAAAAACCACCCAAUCAGACAACGACAC